AAUUCACCUAUUUGGUGCAUUUUGUAUAAUGUGGUGUUUUGUGAUUGACUUCUUCGCUUAGCAUGUUUUCAAGGUUCAUCCACAUGGUAGACUAUAUCGGAGCUCCAGUCUUCACCUUCAGCUUGGACUUGUCUCCUGGCUUCUAGUGCAGCCUCUUCGGCUUCCACCUUGGAUCCUUCAGUUUUCCGUCGCAGACUCAUCGGCCUCCUGGUACGGACUUGCACGGAACUCUACAGUGAACUCCAGACCCUGGACUGAUGCCUUCGGUCUUCAGUGUGCAGACACCCUCUGCCCACUUCCCCAUACAACUCUCUGGCUGACUGUCGUAAGCCAAUCUUGUAAUUUCUUAUAAUUUAUAUAUCCUGUGUUAUAUCUGUUUCUCCAGUAAAACCCUGACUGAUACAUUAUACUAACAUCAUACUCGCUUGAUGACUAUUGCA
Molecule: long non-coding RNA, 440 nt
Filed under: Chinchilla lanigera (long-tailed chinchilla)
Lineage: Eukaryota; Metazoa; Chordata; Mammalia; Rodentia; Chinchillidae
Description: lncRNA (ENSCLAG00000022263.1)
Source: RNAcentral